GGGGUUGUGGCUCAGUGGCAGAGUGCUUGCCUUGCAUGUGUGAGGCACUGGGUUCAAUCCUCAGCUCCA
Molecule: transfer RNA, 69 nt
Filed under: Ictidomys tridecemlineatus (thirteen-lined ground squirrel)
Lineage: Eukaryota; Metazoa; Chordata; Mammalia; Rodentia; Sciuridae
Description: Spermophilus tridecemlineatus (thirteen-lined ground squirrel) tRNA
Rfam family: tRNA
About the family: Transfer RNA (tRNA) molecules are approximately 80 nucleotides in length. Their secondary structure includes four short double-helical elements and three loops (D, anti-codon, and T loops).
Source: Rfam by way of RNAcentral